UGGAUGUAAAAGUCGUAACAAGGUCUCCGUUGGUGAACCAGCGGAGGGAUCAUUACCGAGUUUACAACUCCCAAACCCAAUGUGAACCAUACCAAACUGUUGCCUCGGCGGGGUCACGCCCCGGGUGCGUCGCAGCCCCGGAACCAGGCGCCCGCCGGAGGGACCAACCAAACUCUUUCUGUAGUCCCCUCGCGGACGUUAUUUCUUACAGCUCUGAGCAAAAAUUCAAAAUGAAUCAAAACUUUCAACAACGGAUCUCUUGGUUCUGGCAUCGAUGAAGAACGCAGCGAAAUGCGAUAAGUAAUGUGAAUUGCAGAAUUCAGUGAAUCAUCGAAUCUUUGAACGCACAUUGCGCCCGCCAGUAUUCUGGCGGGCAUGCCUGUCCGAGCGUCAUUUCAACCCUCGAACCCCUCCGGGGGGUCGGCGUUGGGGAUCGGGAACCCCUAAGACGGGAUCCCGGCCCCGAAAUACAGUGGCGGUCUCGCCGCAGCCUCUCCUGCGCAGUAGUUUGCACAACUCGCACCGGGAGCGCGGCGCGUCCACGUCCGUAAAACACCCAACUUCUGAAAUGUUGACCUCGGAUCAGGUAGGAAUACCCGCUGGACUUAAGCAUAUCAAUAAGCGGAGGA
RNAcentral lists this ribosomal RNA (629 nucleotides) under Trichoderma koningiopsis. RNAcentral's name for it is "eukaryotic LSU rRNA". The stretch from base 240 to 393 matches the Rfam family "5.8S ribosomal RNA". Lineage: Eukaryota; Fungi; Ascomycota; Sordariomycetes; Hypocreales; Hypocreaceae. The record is from RNAcentral.